GCCCGUAGAUGCAUCUUUGUAGCAUACUGAAAUAGAAACAGAAGCAGAAAAUUAGAAAGUUAUAUUUUGACAAAAUAGAAUUACCAUUCAUAACAUAAAAUCAACAUUAUAUAAAUGAUGUUAACAUAAAAUUAGACAUUAGACUUCAAUAUCUAGGUGGAUGCUUCAGCAUCUUCAUAAUAUCUUUGAUCGAUCUUGAAAUCGUUGCUUCCAUCUCGAUUGAAACUUUUGU
RNAcentral lists this long non-coding RNA (232 nucleotides) under Lathyrus oleraceus (garden pea). Its description in RNAcentral is "Pisum sativum (pea) long non-coding RNA (PSAT_LNC023005)". Lineage: Eukaryota; Viridiplantae; Streptophyta; Magnoliopsida; Fabales; Fabaceae. The record is from RNAcentral.